UCUGAGGUUUGUUGGCAAUGUGCUAAUUUAUUGCACCCAAUAAAUUAGCACAUUGCCAACAAACCUCAGAGC
Non-coding RNA from Pelobates cultripes (western spadefoot toad), 72 nucleotides. Lineage: Eukaryota; Metazoa; Chordata; Amphibia; Anura; Pelobatidae. The record is from the annotation of a GenBank genome assembly.